GUAAGUGAGGGUGAUCCGGUUGCAACACCUGUCACCCUAUUGGUCAAAGGGUUGAUUCAGCUGAUCUGGAUGGCCAGGAAGGUAUCUCCUUCCUCCCUCACCACUCCAUGUACAUCCCUCCCGAAGCUGUGCACUUGGUCGAAGAGGACCUUCUUUGAUAGAGGAAGACUGUUCAUUGGUCAAGGGUAUACCAGUAGCUGUGCUCCCCUACUAGACCCUCCAAACAAGCUCUCAAAGCAGAACUAAGUCUAUAUUUUCUAAAGUGCAUACACCGGAGUUUGGGAAUGAUGAAAGAUAACCAUUUAAGUAAUGUAGAAUAAUAAAUAGCUUCAAUACUACUU
Unclassified non-coding RNA from Colobus angolensis palliatus, 341 nucleotides. Its record names the gene 7SK. It matches the Rfam family "7SK RNA". From Rfam's summary of the family: 7SK was discovered as an abundant small nuclear RNA in the mid-70s but a possible function has only recently been suggested. Two independent studies have found that 7SK RNA binds the CDK9/cyclin T complex (known as elongation factor P-TEFb). NCBI's taxonomy places the organism in Eukaryota, Metazoa, Chordata, Mammalia, Primates, Cercopithecidae. The record is from Ensembl.